Molecule: ribosomal RNA, 824 nt
Filed under: uncultured Pseudomonadota bacterium
Lineage: Bacteria; Pseudomonadati; Pseudomonadota
Description: bacterial SSU rRNA
Rfam family: Bacterial small subunit ribosomal RNA
Source: RNAcentral
GCCUAACACAUGCAAGUCGAACGAGAAAGUUCCUUCGGGAGCGAUUAAAGUGGCGCACGGGUGAGUAACGCGUAGACAAUCUGCCCUUCAGUCUGGGACAACUUUUCGAAAGGAGAGCUAAUACCGGAUGACAAUGUAACACAUAAGUGUCACAUUUGAAAGCUCCGGCGCUGAAGGAGGGGUCUGCGUCCCAUUAGCUAGUUGGUAAGGUAAAGGCUUACCAAGGCGACGAUGGGUAGCGGGUUUGAGAGGACGAUCCGCCACACUGGAACUGAGACACGGUCCAGACUCCUACGGGAGGCAGCAGUGGGGAAUAUUGCACAAUGGAGGCAACUCUGAUGCAGCAAUGUCGCGUGAGUGAAGAAGGCCCUUGGGUCGUAAAGCUCUUUUAUGGGGGAAGAUGAUGACGGUACCCCAAGAAUAAGCACCGGCUAACUACGUGCCAGCAGCCGCGGUAAUACGUAGGGUGCGAGCGUUGUUCGGAAUUACUGGGCGUAAAGGGCGCGCAGGCGGAAUAGUAAGUCGGAGGUGAAAGCCCGGGGCUCAACCCCGGAGGGUCUUUCGAAACUGCUAAUCUAGAGAGGGUCAGGGGCCAGCAGAAUUCUUGGUGUAGAGGUGAAAUUCGUAGAUAUCAAGAGGAAUACCGGUGGCGAAAGCGGCUGGCUGGGGCCACUCUGACGCUGAGGCGCGAAAGCGUGGGGAGCAAACAGGAUUAGAUACCCUGGUAGUCCACGCCGUAAACGAUGAGCACUGGAUGUCCGGAGGGUUCGACCCUUCUGGGUAUCUCAGCUAACGCAUUAAGUGCUCCGCCUGGGGAGUACGGU